Molecule: ribosomal RNA, 694 nt
Filed under: uncultured bacterium
Lineage: Bacteria
Description: bacterial SSU rRNA
Rfam family: Bacterial small subunit ribosomal RNA
Source: RNAcentral
AACGCUAGCUACAGGCUUAACACAUGCAAGUCGAGGGGCAGCGGGAUUGAAGCUUGCUUCAAUUGCCGGCGACCGGCGCACGGGUGAGUAACGCGUAUCCAACCUUCCGUACACUCAGGGAUAGCCUUUCGAAAGAAAGAUUAAUACCUGAUAGUAUGAUGAGAUUGCAUGGUAUCAUCAUUAAAGAUUUAUCGGUGUACGAUGGGGAUGCGUUCCAUUAGGUAGUAGGCGGGGUAACGGCCCACCUAGCCAACGAUGGAUAGGGGUUCUGAGAGGAAGGUCCCCCACAUUGGAACUGAGACACGGUCCAAACUCCUACGGGAGGCAGCAGUGAGGAAUAUUGGUCAAUGGACGAGGGUCUGAACCAGCCAAGUAGCGUGAAGGAUGAAGGUCCUACGGAUUGUAAACUUCUUUUAUAAGGGAAUAAACCCUCCCACGUGUGGGAGCUUGUAUGUACCUUAUGAAUAAGCAUCGGCUAACUCCGUGCCAGCAGCCGCGGUAAUACGGAGGAUGCGAGCGUUAUCCGGAUUUAUUGGGUUUAAAGGGAGCGCAGACGGGUCGUUAAGUCAGCUGUGAAAGUUUGGGGCUCAACCUUAAAAUUGCAGUUGAUACUAGCGUCCUUGAGUGCGGUUGAGGUGUGCGGAAUUCGUGGUGUAGCGGUGAAAUGCUUGGAUAUCACGAAGAACUCCGAUUG